Molecule: RNA transcript, 2197 nt
Organism: Oncorhynchus tshawytscha (Chinook salmon)
Lineage: Eukaryota; Metazoa; Chordata; Actinopteri; Salmoniformes; Salmonidae
Gene name: CD276 antigen
Exons: 9
Source: RefSeq, a predicted model, not a curated record
CAUACUGGACAAAGCACCGUAUGGGAGUGGUUUCUUAGAAUCGAAUGAAUCCUGCUGAAUGUAAGGUUUUUCAAUUCCUGUAGCCGAACUAUUACUUUGUCAAGUCAAAAGGGUUCAAGGGAACACUAUUAGCGCUUAUUUUGUCAGGAAAUCCCAAAGAGGGUAUACAAAACUCAACCGAAUAACAUCAUAUGCGAUUUUGUGUAACAAAUCACUGACGCUGGAUGGUUGGUGAUUCAUAAGUUGCGUUCCCCAAACAUGUGCUGUGUCUGACGAGGCUGACCCGCGAUACCGAGACCCCCAGGAAGACCAUGCUGUCCCUCCUGCUGCCCACGCUGCUUGCUGUGCAAGCUCUCGCUGUCCUAGAAGUGCAAGUCCCAGAGCUGCCAGUGGUUGCUCUGUACGGCAUGGACACCACUCUCAACUGUUCCUUCAGCCACGCCUCUCCCUUCAACCUGUCUGACCUCAGUGUCUUCUGGCAGCUGACGGACACCAAGCGCACUGUGCACAGCUACUGGGCUAGCCAGGACCAGCUGGCAGACCAGGGAGAGCGCUAUGCCAACCGCACCAGCCUGUACCCCUCCCAGCUGGGCACGGGCAACACCUCGCUCCUCUUGAGGGGGGUCCGGGUGGCCGACGAGGGUAGCUACACCUGCUUCGUCAGGGUGGAGGCCUACGGUAGUGCAGCCCUACUGCUCCAGGUAGCAGCCCCCUAUUCCAAGCCUCUGGUGACCCUGGAGCCGGACUCUAACCUGCGGCCGGGUGACAAGGUGGCGCUGACCUGCGUGGCGUACGGUGGCUACCCUGAGGCUGACGUACUGUGGCAGGAUGGGGGCGGGCACAACCUGACGGACAACGUCACCACCUCCCUGGUGGCCAAUGAGGAGGGGCUGUUCAGCAUGCGCAGUGUCCUGACUGUCACCCUGGAGCCCAAUAGCACUUACAGCUGCAGACUGACCAACCCAUUAUUGGGUGAGGAUGGCCACGCCUCCGUCACCAUCACAGGUCAGAACAUGGUGUUUCCCCCGGUGGCUCUGUGGGUGACUGUGGGCCUGGCUGUGUGUCUGCUGGGUCUGCUCAUCGCCCUGGCUGCAGUCUGCCGUAGGAAGAUCAAGGAGAGCUGUGAGGAGGACAGAGCAGCCAAGGAGCUUGAAGAGGCCAAAGAGCUGCAGGAAGAGGAGCAGUCUAAGACAGCCAUGACCCCCCUGAAAAGCUAAAGCCAAUAGAACACAGGAGGCAGUACGUGCUCUCGAAGCCCCAAGGUCUGCAGAGGCUUGAGGAGGCAGACGGUGAGACAGCGAUGAGCCUGGUAUUUAAUCCCACUACACCUAUCCAUCGACGGAGAGACUGGUUCCACUGUCUCCUACCCACACAGUGUCCAGGCCUUACUGAGCUGAUGAUGAGUCCAUCAUACCCAUCCCUACAGGACCACUUCUCCUGGGUUUCAAAAAGACAUAAACCCAUCAUAUCCUAUUACAGCACUAUGCAUUUCCCUUCCCCUGCUACUCUUUCAGUUAACGAAGACUGCUGCAGUAUAUGAAUACUGAUGUGGAGUCGAAUUAAUUUCUAUGCAAUAUGCUAGAGAGAAACUCAACGCCAUUGGAUGUGACAGGCUCCCUGUGUAUCGAGGUAGGAAGUUUGAGAGACCCAGGAUCUCAUUUCUAAUAGGAAGUGAGCAGCUUAAGAGAUGACCCAGCUGAGGCUGCCAUCGGUGUCUCCGUAGCUGUCUGCCUGCCAGAGAUGGAGUGUAGCUGUGUAGUUCUCCAUUUACUCCUCGACUCACUAAUUAAUGGUUGCCCGUGGAGUAACUUGUACCUGUCAGUGUCUACCGCUCUCUUAUAUUCAAUAACUUGGAGGAAUUGAAAUUGAAUACCUGCUAAGCUCGAACAAACUGCAAAUGGUGCAUGGGAUACACCCUGGUUCUCUCAGUGACCUGACAGCAGCCUUAUAUGUAAGGUUUUUAAUGAACAUGGACUCUUCUUCAGCUACUCUUAACUGCCAAGGUGGAAUGUUUUAUGAAUUCAAGAUGGAGGCUGGAAGGGUGGGUGGGUGAUGGUAUAGGUUCUGUUACAGUAUACAGGUACUCGAGUCCUUGUGCCAAGUCCUUGUGCCAAAUGUCCAUGUGCGUAUCAAUGCCAAAGCUGUCCAUAAAACAACCCAGUGCCGAUUCGCAUUAAAGAGACAUGGUGAAAAUGUU